CUGCAACCUGUAGUGAUUCUGGCGACCGCGUGGUGGCGAGAACUUGGCGGCGAAUUCGAUGGCCAAAAAAUUGGCAUGCCAACGUUUUGGUAGGGCUCUUGUGGGCAUCAUCCAAACAUGCCCUUGGUAAUAGAAAUCCCCCUCCUUUGACUCUGUUCGAUUUUGCUAGCUAUCCUUGUUGUAGAUCAUAGGGUUGUCAUCUUCAUAUGUCAUAUGAUAUAUAAUUGAUGCAAAAUGCAGCUGACCCAUCGUGUAUCUGAAACCAUUUAUCUGUAGUUGUGUUCUUUUUGGUAUAUCUGAAUAUGACUAAAGAUGUUUGAAGAAAUGGAUGGCCAAAACGGUGGUAUCUUUGGCCAGAUGACUGGACCAUCUUCUAUGAUCCAGAGGAAGCACCUCUUGCACAGACAUGUAUAUUUAUUUGUGAAUCCGAUCCUAACAAGAGUAUUUGACCUUUAACAUUUUUCUGACAGAAAGUAUGAGCACCUAAAUUUCUUGGAAUUUAAUAGCUCCUAAAACAGAUGUUUUGUCAUAGUGAAGGAACCAGAGGGGAGGAUAUAUAGAUCACCCAUGCCUCCACUACGCCACCUGCUGUUGGAUGGCACUGGCCGUCCAAGCGUGUGGAACUGGAAGGACUGUCCAUCAUGGCGGCACAGCUCAUCUCGGAGGAGAAAAGACCAAGGUCCUGCAGGUUUCAAGUGCUACAUAUAGGAGGAGGCAGGAGUGGCUGCAAUCUUGCUACGAAAUGACACUUAUGGAGCUUCUUUACCUAACAUGGCCAAGAAGUCCGCAAAAUCCAGUGAGCAUAGAGUAUAGCCGGUUGGAUACAUAUCUGCAGAGUGCAUGUAGUGUGUGUGUCAGAUAUACAGUGGAAAAACACCACAAUGCAAGUGUCAGAUCCUGUUCUUGAUGCAAUUUUGCGACUCUAUUCUGGACUGUAAGCAAUUGGUUGAUGUUAAGCUGAAACUCGGAUCAGUCUCGUGGCUCUUCUGUACCUAUAUGCCUAGAUUAUUUACUAAUGGUAUAUGAACUAUAUCUUCCUAUAUAGGAUGAUCAAUUGCCAGGAAUAGAAAGACUAUGGUUUUGAUUUU
Long non-coding RNA from Triticum aestivum (bread wheat), 1088 nucleotides. RefSeq lists it as uncharacterized. The record is from RefSeq and is a predicted model, not a curated record. The transcript is spliced from 3 exons. NCBI's taxonomy places the organism in Eukaryota, Viridiplantae, Streptophyta, Magnoliopsida, Poales, Poaceae.